RNAcentral lists this ribosomal RNA (253 nucleotides) under uncultured bacterium. RNAcentral's name for it is "partial 16S ribosomal RNA". It matches the Rfam family "Bacterial small subunit ribosomal RNA", at positions 333 to 600 of the family's 1533-position model. The record is from RNAcentral.
CAAGCCCUACGGGGGGCAGCAGUGGGGAAUAUUGGGCAAUGGGCGCAAGCCUGACACAGCAACGCCGCGUGAAGGAAGAAGGCUUUCGGGUUGUAAACUUCUUUUCUUGGGGACGAAGAAAGUGACGGUACCCAAGGAAUAAGCCACGGCUAACUACGUGCCAGCAGCCGCGGUAAUACGUAGGUGGCAAGCGUUAUCCGGAUUUAUUGGGUGUAAAGGGCGUGUAGGCGGGAUUGCAAGUCAGAUGUGAUAA